UACGUGUCUAUGAUUCUCCGUUGUUAAA
This 28-nucleotide non-coding RNA is filed under the name Mus musculus (house mouse). The record is from RNAcentral. Lineage: Eukaryota; Metazoa; Chordata; Mammalia; Rodentia; Muridae.